Molecule: ribosomal RNA, 439 nt
Filed under: bacterium gwi30
Lineage: Bacteria
Description: bacterial SSU rRNA
Rfam family: Bacterial small subunit ribosomal RNA
Source: RNAcentral
CUUAACACAUGCAAGUCGAACGAUGAUCCGGUGCUUGCACCGGGGAUUAGUGGCGAACGGGUGAGUAACACGUGAGUAACCUGCCCUUGACUCUGGGAUAAGCCUGGGAAACUGGGUCUAAUACCGGAUAUGACUCCUCAUCGCAUGGUGGGGGGUGGAAAGCUUUUGUGGUUUUGGAUGGACUCGCGGCCUAUCAGCUUGUUGGUGAGGUAAUGGCUCACCAAGGCGACGACGGGUAGCCGGCCUGAGAGGGUGACCGGCCACACUGGGACUGAGACACGGCCCAGACUCCUACGGGAGGCAGCAGUGGGGAAUAUUGCACAAUGGGCGAAAGCCUGAUGCAGCGACGCCGCGUGAGGGAUGACGGCCUUCGGGUUGUAAACCUCUUUCAGUAGGGAAGAAGCGAAAGUGACGGUACCUGCAGAAGAAGCGCCGGCUA